AGAGUUUGAUCAUGGCUCAGGAUGAACGCUAGCUACAGGCUUAACACAUGCAAGUCGAGGGGAAACGACAUCGAAAGCUUGCUUUUGAUGGGCGUCGGCCGGCGCACGGGUGAGUAACGCGUAUCCAACCUGCCCACCACUUGGGGAUAACCUUGCGAAAGUAAGACUAAUACCCAAUGACGUCUCUAGAAGACAUCUGAAAGAGAUUAAAGAUUUAUCGGUGAUGGAUGGGGAUGCGUCUGAUUAGCUUGUUGGGCGGGGUAACGGCCACCAAGGCGACGAUCAGUAGGGGUUCUGAGAGGAAGGUCCCCCANAUUGGAACUGAGACACGGUCCAAACUCCUACGGGAGGCA
RNAcentral lists this ribosomal RNA (353 nucleotides) under uncultured bacterium. RNAcentral describes it as "bacterial SSU rRNA". It matches the Rfam family "Bacterial small subunit ribosomal RNA", at positions 8 to 350 of the family's 1533-position model. The record is from RNAcentral.